AGUGAACGCUGGCGGUAGGCCUAACACAUGCAAGUCGAACGGCAGCACAGUAAGAGCUUGCUCUUACGGGUGGCGAGUGGCGGACGGGUGAGGAAUACAUCGGAAUCUACUUUUUCGUGGGGGAUAACGUAGGGAAACUUACGCUAAUACCGCAUACGACCUACGGGUGAAAGCAGGGGAUCUUCGGACCUUGCGCGAUUGAAUGAGCCGAUGUCGGAUUAGCUAGUUGGCGGGGUAAAGGCCCACCAAGGCGACGAUCCGUAGCUGGUCUGAGAGGAUGAUCAGCCACACUGGAACUUAGACACGGUCCAGACUCCUACGGGAGGGAGCCGUGGGGAAUAUUGGACAAUGGGCGGAAGCCUUAUCCAGCCAUACCGCGUGGGUGAAGAAGGCCUUCGGGUUGUAAAGCCCUUUUGUUGGGAAAGAAAAGCAGCAGGUUAAUACCCCGCUGUUCUGACGGUACCCAAAGAAUAAGCACCGGCUAACUUCGUG
Molecule: ribosomal RNA, 492 nt
Filed under: uncultured bacterium
Lineage: Bacteria
Description: partial 16S ribosomal RNA
Rfam family: Bacterial small subunit ribosomal RNA
Source: RNAcentral